Molecule: ribosomal RNA, 2139 nt
Filed under: Salmonella enterica subsp. enterica serovar Enteritidis
Lineage: Bacteria; Pseudomonadati; Pseudomonadota; Gammaproteobacteria; Enterobacterales; Enterobacteriaceae
Description: partial 23S ribosomal RNA
Rfam family: Bacterial large subunit ribosomal RNA
Source: RNAcentral
CUUAACCGGGCGUUAAGUUGCAGGGUAUAGACCCGAAACCCGGUGAUCUAGCCAUGGGCAGGUUGAAGGUUGGGUAACACUAACUGGAGGACCGAACCGACUAAUGUUGAAAAAUUAGCGGAUGACCUGUGGCUGGGGGUGAAAGGCCAAUCAAACCGGGAGAUAGCUGGUUCUCCCCGAAAGCUAUUUAGGUAGCGCCUCGUGAAUUCAUCUCCGGGGGUAGAGCACUGUUUCGGCUAGGGGGCCAUCCCGGCUUACCAACCCGAUGCAAACUGCGAAUACCGGAGAAUGUUAUCACGGGAGACACACGGCGGGUGCUAACGUCCGUCGUGAAGAGGGAAACAACCCAGACCGCCAGCUAAGGUCCCAAAGUCAUGGUUAAGUGGGAAACGAUGUGGGAAGGCCCAGACAGCCAGGAUGUUGGCUUAGAAGCAGCCAUCAUUUAAAGAAAGCGUAAUAGCUCACUGGUCGAGUCGGCCUGCGCGGAAGAUGUAACGGGGCUAAACCAUGCACCGAAGCUGCGGCAGCGACACUGUGUGUUGUUGGGUAGGGGAGCGUUCUGUAAGCCUGUGAAGGUGUGUCGUGAGGCAUGCUGGAGGUAUCAGAAGUGCGAAUGCUGACAUAAGUAACGAUAAAGCGGGUGAAAAGCCCGCUCGCCGGAAGACCAAGGGUUCCUGUCCAACGUUAAUCGGGGCAGGGUGAGUCGACCCCUAAGGCGAGGCCGAAAGGCGUAGUCGAUGGGAAACGGGUUAAUAUUCCCGUACUUGGUGUUACUGCGAAGGGGGGACGGAGAAGGCUAUGUUGGCCGGGCGACGGUUGUCCCGGUUUAAGCGUGUAGGUGUGUGUUCCAGGUAAAUCCGGUUCACUUUAACACUGAGGCGUGACGACGAGGCACUACGGUGCUGAAGCAACAAAUGCCCUGCUUCCAGGAAAAGCCUCUAAGCAUCAGGUAACAUCAAAUCGUACCCCAAACCGACACAGGUGGUCAGGUAGAGAAUACCAAGGCGCUUGAGAGAACUCGGGUGAAGGAACUAGGCAAAAUGGUGCCGUAACUUCGGGAGAAGGCACGCUGACACGUAGGUGAAGUGAUUUACUCAUGGAGCUGAAGUCAGUCGAAGAUACCAGCUGGCUGCAACUGUUUAUUAAAAACACAGCACUGUGCAAACACGAAAGUGGACGUAUACGGUGUGACGCCUGCCCGGUGCCGGAAGGUUAAUUGAUGGGGUCAGCGCAAGCGAAGCUCCUGAUCGAAGCCCCGGUAAACGGCGGCCGUAACUAUAACGGUCCUAAGGUAGCGAAAUUCCUUGUCGGGUAAGUUCCGACCUGCACGAAUGGCGUAAUGAUGGCCAGGCUGUCUCCACCCGAGACUCAGUGAAAUUGAACUCGCUGUGAAGAUGCAGUGUACCCGCGGCAAGACGGAAAGACCCCGUGAACCUUUACUAUAGCUUGACACUGAACAUUGAGCCUUGAUGUGUAGGAUAGGUGGGAGGCUUUGAAGUGUGGACGCCAGUCUGCAUGGAGCCGACCUUGAAAUACCACCCUUUAAUGUUUGAUGUUCUAACGUGGACCCGUUACCCGGGUUGCGGACAGUGUCUGGUGGGUAGUUUGACUGGGGCGGUCUCCUCCUAAAGAGUAACGGAGGAGCACGAAGGUUGGCUAAUCCUGGUCGGACAUCAGGAGGUUAGUGCAAUGGCAUAAGCCAGCUUGACUGCGAGCGUGACGGCGCGAGCAGGUGCGAAAGCAGGUCAUAGUGAUCCGGUGGUUCUGAAUGGAAGGGCCAUCGCUCAACGGAUAAAAGGUACUCCGGGGAUAACAGGCUGAUACCGCCCAAGAGUUCAUAUCGACGGCGGUGUUUGGCACCUCGAUGUCGGCUCAUCACAUCCUGGGGCUGAAGUAGGUCCCAAGGGUAUGGCUGUUCGCCAUUUAAAGUGGUACGCGAGCUGGGUUUAGAACGUCGUGAGACAGUUCGGUCCCUAUCUGCCGUGGGCGCUGGAGAACUGAGGGGGGCUGCUCCUAGUACGAGAGGACCGGAGUGGACGCAUCACUGGUGUUCGGGUUGUCAUGCCAAUGGCACUGCCCGGUAGCUAAAUGCGGAAGAGAUAAGUGCUGAAAGCAUCUAAGCACGAAACUUGCCCCGAG